RNAcentral lists this ribosomal RNA (484 nucleotides) under uncultured bacterium. RNAcentral describes it as "partial 16S ribosomal RNA". It matches the Rfam family "Bacterial small subunit ribosomal RNA", at positions 30 to 507 of the family's 1533-position model. The record is from RNAcentral.
AUUGAACGCUGGCGGCAGGCCUAACACAUGCAAGUCGAGCGGAUGAAGGGAGCUUGCUCCUGGAUUCAGCGGCGGACGGGUGAGUAAUGCCUAGGAAUCUGCCUGGUAGUGGGGGAUGACGUCCGGAAACGGGCGCUAAUACCGCAUACGUCCUGAGGGAGAAAGUGGGGGAUCUUCGGACCUCACGCUAUCAGAUGAGCCUAGGUCGGAUUAGCUAGUUGGUGGGGUAAAGGCCUACCAAGGCGACGAUCCGUAACUGGUCUGAGUGGAUGAUCAGUCACACGGGAACUGGGACACGGUCCAGGCUCCUACGGGAGGCAGCAGUGGGGAAUAUUGGACAAUGGGCGGAAGCCUUAUCCAGCCAUGCCGCGUGUGUGAAGAAGGUCUUCGGAUUGUAAAGCACUUUAAGUUGGGAGGAAGGGCAGUAAGUUAAUACCUUGCUGUUUUGACGUUACCAACAGAAUAAGCACCGGCUAACUUCGUG